CCUACGGGGGGCUGCAGUGGGGAAUAUUGGACAAUGGGGGGAACCCUGAUCCAGCCAUGCCGCGUGUGUGAAGAAGACCCUCGGGUUGUAAAGCACUUUCAGUGAGGAAGAACGCCUGGUGGUUAAUACCCAUCAGGAAAGACAUCACUCACAGAAGAAGCACCGGCUAACUCCGUGCCAGCAGCCGCGGUAAUACGGAGGGUGCGAGCGUUAAUCGGAAUUACGGGGCGUAAAGCGCGCGUAGGUGGCUUGAUAAGCCGGUUGUGAAAGCCCCGGGCUCAACCUGGGAACGGCAUCCGGAACUGUCAAGCUAGAGUGCAGGAGAGGAAGGUAGAAUUCCCGGUGUAGCGGUGAAAUGCGUAGAGAUCGGGAGGAAUACCAGUGGCGAAGGCGGCCUUCUGGACUGACACUGACACUGAGGUGCGAAAGCGUGGGUAGCAAACAGGAUUAGAUACCCCAGUAGUC
RNAcentral lists this ribosomal RNA (465 nucleotides) under Vreelandella stevensii. RNAcentral describes it as "partial 16S ribosomal RNA". It matches the Rfam family "Bacterial small subunit ribosomal RNA", at positions 338 to 795 of the family's 1533-position model. The record is from RNAcentral. Lineage: Bacteria; Pseudomonadati; Pseudomonadota; Gammaproteobacteria; Oceanospirillales; Halomonadaceae.